UACGUAGGGCGCGAGCGUUGUCCGGAAUUAUUGGGCGUAAAGAGCUCGUAGGCGGCCUGUCGCGUCCGCUGUGAAAACCCGGGGCUUAACCCCGGGCCUGCAGUGGAUACGGGCAGGCUGGAGGCAGGCAGGGGAGAACGGAAUUCCCGGUGUAGCGGUGAAAUGCGCAGAUAUCAGGAAGAACACCCGUGGCUAAGGCGGCUCUCUAGUACGGUACUGACGCUGAGACGCGAAAGCGUGGGGAGCGAACAGG
This 253-nucleotide ribosomal RNA is filed under the name uncultured bacterium. Its description in RNAcentral is "partial 16S ribosomal RNA". It matches the Rfam family "Bacterial small subunit ribosomal RNA", at positions 524 to 776 of the family's 1533-position model. The record is from RNAcentral.